AGAUUGAACGCUGGCGGCAGGCCUAACACAUGCAAGUCGAGCGGUAGCACAGAGAGCUUGCUCUCGGGUGACGAGCGGCGGACGGGUGAGUAAUGUCUGGGAAACUGCCUGAUGGAGGGGGAUAACUACUGGAAACGGUAGCUAAUACCGCAUAACGUCGCAAGACCAAAGAGGGGGACCUUCGGGCCUCUUGCCAUCAGAUGUGCCCAGAUGGGAUUAGCUAGUAGGUGGGGUAAUGGCUCACCUAGGCGACGAUCCCUAGCUGGUCUGAGAGGAUGACCAGCCACACUGGAACUGAGACACGGUCCAGACUCCUACGGGAGGCAGCAGUGGGGAAUAUUGCACAAUGGGCGCAAGCCUGAUGCAGCCAUGCCGCGUGUAUGAAGAAGGCCUUCGGGUUGUAAAGUACUUUCAGCGAGGAGGAAGGCAUUGUGGUUAAUAACCACAGUGAUUGACGUUACUCGCAGAAGAAGCACCGGCUAACUCCGUGCCAGCAGCCGCGGUAAUACGGAGGGUGCAAGCGUUAAUCGGAAUUACUGGGCGUAAAGCGCACGCAGGCGGUCUGUCAAGUCGGAUGUGAAAUCCCCGGGCUCAACCUGGGAACUGCAUUCGAAACUGGCAGGCUAGAGUCUUGUAGAGGGGGGUAGAAUUCCAGGUGUAGCGGUGAAAUGCGUAGAGAUCUGGAGGAAUACCGGUGGCGAAGGCGGCCCCCUGGACAAAGACUGACGCUCAGGUGCGAAAGCGUGGGGAGCAAACAGGAUUAGAUACCCUGGUAGUCCACGCCGUAAACGAUGUCGACUUGGAGGUUGUUCCCUUGAGGAGUGGCUUCCGGAGCUAACGCGUUAAGUCGACCGCCUGGGGAGUACGGCCGCAAGGUUAAAACUCAAAUGAAUUGACGGGGGCCCGCACAAGCGGUGGAGCAUGUGGUUUAAUUCGAUGCAACGCGAAGAACCUUACCUACUCUUGACAUCCAGAGAACUUAGCAGAGAUGCUUUGGUGCCUUCGGGAACUCUGAGACAGGUGCUGCAUGGCUGUCGUCAGCUCGUGUUGUGAAAUGUUGGGUUAAGUCCCGCAACGAGCGCAACCCUUAUCCUUUGUUGCCAGCGGUUCGGCCGGGAACUCAAAGGAGACUGCCAGUGAUAAACUGGAGGAAGGUGGGGAUGACGUCAAGUCAUCAUGGGCCCUUACGAGUAGGGCUACACACGUGCUACAAUGGCGCAUACAAAGAGAAGCGACCUCGCGAGAGCAAGCGGACCUCAUAAAGUGCGUCGUAGUCCGGAUUGGAGUCUGCAACUCGACUCCAUGAAGUCGGAAUCGCUAGUAAUCGUAGAUCAGAAUGCUACGGUGAAUACGUUCCCGGGCCUUGUACACACCGCCCGUCACACCAUGGGAGUGGGUUGCAAAGAGAAGUAGGUAGC
RNAcentral lists this ribosomal RNA (1418 nucleotides) under Enterobacter sp. BW3. Its description in RNAcentral is "bacterial SSU rRNA". It matches the Rfam family "Bacterial small subunit ribosomal RNA". The record is from RNAcentral. Lineage: Bacteria; Pseudomonadati; Pseudomonadota; Gammaproteobacteria; Enterobacterales; Enterobacteriaceae.